This 492-nucleotide ribosomal RNA is filed under the name uncultured bacterium. RNAcentral's name for it is "partial 16S ribosomal RNA". It matches the Rfam family "Bacterial small subunit ribosomal RNA", at positions 30 to 507 of the family's 1533-position model. The record is from RNAcentral.
AUUGAACGCUGGCGGCAUGCUUUACACAUGCAAGUCGAACGGUAACAGGCCUUCGGGUGCUGACGAGUGGCGAACGGGUGAGUAAUUCAUCGGAACGUGCCCAGAGGUGGGGGAUAACGCAGCGAAAGCUGUGCUAAUACCGCAUGUGAUCUGAGGAUGAAAGCGGGGGACCAGGCAGCAAUGUUUGGCCUCGCGCCUUUGGAGCGGCCGAUGUCAGAUUAGGUAGUUGGUGGGGUAAAGGCCUACCAAGCCGACGAUCUGUAGCUGGUCUGAGAGGACGACCAGCCACACUGGGACUGAGACACGGCCCAGACUCCUACGGGAGGCAGCAGUGGGGAAUUUUGGACAAUGGGCGCAAGCCUGAUCCAGCAAUGCCGCGUGCGGGAAGAAGGCCUUCGGGUUGUAAACCGCUUUUGUACGGAACGAAAAGGCUCUGGCUAAUACCUGGGGCUGAUGACGGUACCGUAAGAAUAAGCACCGGCUAACUACGUG